CAAUUUUAGAAGUUCUCGUUAUAUUAAUAAUAGGUUAUUGAGGAAAGAAACAACUAUGGAAGUAAAAGGUAAAUAGAACCAGACAUAGAAAAGCCGUUUCAAGCUAAGUUAUUCACAUCAUAGAACAACUAUCUCUUGUUAAAGCAUGGGAAUCGAUCACAAGAGGAUGAGAGUAAUCUAGGUAAUUUACAUUACUUAUAACAUCAUAAUAUGCUUAAAGAAUAUCCAAUUCAACUUGAUAAAUAAGUCGAUAUAACUAAUCAACAUCAACAAGUUAUUUCUUCAAUGAGGGAGAAAGUUCUUCUGAAGUCACAAUAACCACACAAUUCUUCAAUUGAAUUGAAGAAGUUGAAAACAAAGAUUCUUCCUGAAGCUGUGAAAUACGAAGAAAAAACAUAAGAUAAAUAAAAAAUUGAAGGAAAAAAAAGUAAAGAACAUGUUGCUAAAAAGUGUGCCAAGUACAAAGCUGAAAAUGCACAGAAUCACAAUCCACUUGAGUGAGACUUUGCCCCUAGACAUCGGCCCAAAUUAAUUUACGUAUUGUUUUAUUUAUUGAUGUCUUUUUAUUUUAUUGGGCUUGUCUAGUGGGUCUAGCCCAAGCCCGUGAAUAUUAGGUUUAUUUUGUUAUUUAUAUGUUGGUAACUGGAAUUGCAAGACAGUUUCGAUGAAUGAGUUAAAUUACG
Molecule: long non-coding RNA, 683 nt
Filed under: Olea europaea subsp. europaea
Lineage: Eukaryota; Viridiplantae; Streptophyta; Magnoliopsida; Lamiales; Oleaceae
Source: RNAcentral